RNAcentral lists this small RNA (900 nucleotides) under Tullyiplasma multilocale. RNAcentral describes it as "bacterial LSU rRNA". The stretch from base 404 to 900 matches the Rfam family "Bacterial large subunit ribosomal RNA", at positions 1 to 497 of the family's 2925-position model. Lineage: Bacteria; Bacillati; Mycoplasmatota; Mollicutes; Mycoplasmatales; Mycoplasmataceae. The record is from RNAcentral.
CGCCCGUCACACCAGGAGAGUUGGUAAUACCAGAAGUAGGUAGCUUAACCGUAAGGAGAGCGCUUCCCAAGGUAGGAUUAGCGAUCGGGGUGAAGUCGUAACAAGGUAUCCGUACGGGAACGUGCGGAUGGAUCACCUCCUUUCUAUGGAGUAAAAUUUAAAAAGCAGAGUGAAACUGCUUUGACUGUUUCUGUUCUAUUUAGUUUUCAGAGGUUAUUAAUUUAACUUCUGAAAAGAUUGUUCUUUGAAAACUGAAUAUUAGAUGAAAAAUCAAUUUUCCUUGUCGUUUUAUUACGGCAAGAAAAAGUGAAGAAUUUUUAUAUAUGAAUUUAUUCAUAUACUUCAAAUUCGACAUCAGUUAUAAAAAACUAAAAUUAUGUUAUAAAUUGCAAAUAGAUUUUUUCUAAAAAAUAGUAAGGGCAUAUGGUGAAUGCCUUGGAAAAUGGAGCCGAAGAAGGACGUGACUACCUGCGAAAAGCAUCGGGGAGCUGGAAGUGAGCUUAGAUCCGGUGAUGUCCGAAUGGGGAAACCUAGUACGAUUAAUCUCGUAUUGUCCACAACUGAAUACAUAGGUUGUGAGUCGGGAACCUUGGGAACUGAAACAUCUUAGUACCAAGAGGAAAAUAAAAUAAAUAAUGAUUCUGUUAGUAGCGGCGAGCGAACGCGGAACAGGCCAAACCAGUCUACGGGCCGGGGUUGUAGGACUUCUGUUAGAGUUACAAAGUCGAUGUAUAGUAGAAGCUACUGGGAAGUAGCGCCACAGAGGGUGAUAGCCCCGUAUACGAAAUGCAUCGACCUCGAGGAAGUAUCCUGAGUACGGCGAAACACGUGAAAUUUUGUCGGAAUCUGCCGGGACCACCCGGUAAGCCUAAAUACUCCCAUUUUACCGAUAGUGAACCA